Bos taurus (domestic cattle) is the source of this 73-nucleotide non-coding RNA. The record is from Rfam. NCBI's taxonomy places the organism in Eukaryota, Metazoa, Chordata, Mammalia, Artiodactyla, Bovidae.
UCCCUGGUGGCCCAGUGGAUAAGACUCUGUGCUCGUAAUGCAGGGGGCACAGGUUCGAUCCCUGAUUAGGGAA